This is a long non-coding RNA of Polypterus senegalus (gray bichir), 331 nucleotides long. RefSeq lists it as uncharacterized. The record is from RefSeq and is a predicted model, not a curated record. Lineage: Eukaryota; Metazoa; Chordata; Cladistia; Polypteriformes; Polypteridae. The transcript is spliced from 3 exons.
CAGCCAGUGCAACACAUCCCAUUUCAAACAAUGCACAGAGUCGUAACAGCCAGACUUGUUUUCCUGAUCACAGUUGUGGCACACUGGAGCCUAACUAGCAGCAGUCCUCCAUGUGGCCAAGGCACAUCAAUAUGACAGAGUGGCUAAGAAAAUGAACCGUAAACCACUGGAAAUCCACUUCAGCCAUCACCCUUGGUACUUUCUAUGGCCUUUCCCAACUCAUUUACCUUGUAUGUCGGUGGAAAACCAAAGUACAUGGAGAAAAACCCACACAAUCUCGGAGAAAAUAUAAAAACUCCACACGGUAAGCAUUCAAACCCCUGUGCUUAGC